CCUACGGGUGGCAGCAGUGGGGAAUAUUGCACAAUGGGCGGAACCCUGAUGCAGCGACGCCGCGUGAGUGAAGAAGUAUUUCGGUAUGUAAAGCUCUAUCAGCAGGGAAGAAAAUGACGGUACCUGUCUCAGAAGCACCGGCCAACUACGUGCCAGCAGGCGCGGUAAUACGGAGGGGGCAAGCGUUAUCCGGAUUUACUGGGUGUAAAGGGAGCGCAGACGGCUGUGCAAGUCUGGAGUGAAAGGCGGGGGCCCAACCCCCGGACUGCUCUGGAAACUGGAAGGCUGGAGUGCAGGAGAGGUAAGCGGAAUUCGUGGUGUAGCGGUGAAAUGCGUAGAUAUUAGGAGGAACACCGGUGGCGAAGGCGGCUUACUGGACUGCAACUGACGUUGAGGCGCGAAAGCGUGGGGAGCAAACAGGAUUAGAUACCCCGGUAGUC
Molecule: ribosomal RNA, 440 nt
Filed under: uncultured bacterium
Lineage: Bacteria
Description: partial 16S ribosomal RNA
Rfam family: Bacterial small subunit ribosomal RNA
Source: RNAcentral